CAGUUCGCGCCCUCUUGGAGGAAGCAGCUUCCCUUUCCUGAGUAACGCUUGGAGGGGACCCCUUUGAGUUCUGGCUUGGGGAGGAAGGCAGUGGAGCCUCUGAGUGUAUUCUGGGAUCACACAGCUCUGGAUUCAAAUCCCAAUUCCACUACCUACUAGCUGUGUCAUUGUGGAGAAGUUAUUUUACUUGUCUGUGACCUUCAAUGGCAUCAUCUGUAAAACAGUCACCAGCAAGAGCUACCUCAAAGCAUAACCGCGUAGGACAUGUGCGAAGUGAGUAAAAGCAGAG
Eptesicus fuscus (big brown bat) is the source of this 289-nucleotide long non-coding RNA. RefSeq lists it as uncharacterized. The transcript is spliced from 3 exons. The record is from RefSeq and is a predicted model, not a curated record. NCBI's taxonomy places the organism in Eukaryota, Metazoa, Chordata, Mammalia, Chiroptera, Vespertilionidae.